Molecule: ribosomal RNA, 403 nt
Filed under: uncultured bacterium
Lineage: Bacteria
Description: bacterial SSU rRNA
Rfam family: Bacterial small subunit ribosomal RNA
Source: RNAcentral
UAGGGAAUAUUGCAAAAUGGGCGAAAGCCCGAUGCAGCAACGCCGCGUGGGCGAUGAAGGCCUUCGGGUCGUAAAGCCCUUUUUGAGGGGAUGAGGAAGGACAGUACCCUCAGAAUAAGCCUCGGCUAACUACGUGCAAGCAGCCGCGGUAAAACGUAGGAGGCGAACGUUAUCCGGAUUUACUGGGCGUAAAGCGCGUGCAGGCGGAUUGGAGAGUUGGAUGUGAAAGCUCCCGGCUUAACUGGGAGAGGUCGUUCAAUACUUCCAGUCUUGAGUGCAGUAGAGGGAAGUGGAAUUCCGGGUGUAGUGGUGAAAUGCGUAGAUAUCCGGAGGAACACCAGUGGCGAAAGCGGCUUCCUGGACUGUAACUGACGCGCAGACGCGAAAGCUAGGGUAGCAAACG